AUUGAACGCUGGCGGCAUGCUUUACACAUGCAAGUCGAACGGCAGCACGGGGGCAACCCUGGUGGCGAGUGGCGAACGGGUGAGUAACACAUCGGAACGCGUCCAGUUGUGGGGGAUAACCCAUCGAAAGGUGGGCUAAUACCGCAUGAGCUGGCAACAGGAAAGCGGGGGACCCGCAAGGGCCUUGUGCGAUUGGAGCGGCCGAUGUCCGAUUAGCUAGUUGGUGGGGUAAAGGCCUACCAAGGCUUCGAUCGGUAGCUGGUCUGAGAGGAUGAUCAGCCACACUGGGACUGAGACACGGCCCAGACUCCUACGGGAGGCAGCAGUGGGGAAUCUUGCGCAAUGGGCGAAAGCCUGACGCAGCGACGCCGCGUGAGGGAUGACGGCCUGG
Molecule: ribosomal RNA, 391 nt
Filed under: uncultured bacterium
Lineage: Bacteria
Description: bacterial SSU rRNA
Rfam family: Bacterial small subunit ribosomal RNA
Source: RNAcentral